GACGAACGCUGGCGGCGUGCCUAAUACAUGCCAGUUGAGCGCUGAAGGUUGGUACUUGUACCGACUGGAUGAGCAGCGAACGGGUGAGUAACGCGUGGGGAAUCUGCCUUUGAGCGGGGGACAACAUUUGGAAACGAAUGCUAAUACCGCAUAAAAACUUUAAACACAAGUUUUAAGUUUGAAAGAUGCAAUUGCAUCACUCAAAGAUGAUCCCGCGUUGUAUUAGCUAGUUGGUGAGGUAAAGGCUCACCAAGGCGAUGAUACAUAGCCGACCUGAGAGGGUGAUCGGCCACAUUGGGACUGAGACACGGCCCGAACUCCUACGGGAGGCAGCAGUAGGGAAUCUUCGGCAAUGGACGAAAGUCUGACCGAGCAACGCCGCGUGAGUGAAGAAGGUUUUCGGAUCGUAAAACUCUGUUGGUAGAGAAGAACGUUGGUGAGAGUGGAAAGCUCAUCAAGUGACGGUAACUACCCAGAAAGGGACGGCUAACUACGUG
Molecule: ribosomal RNA, 497 nt
Filed under: uncultured bacterium
Lineage: Bacteria
Description: partial 16S ribosomal RNA
Rfam family: Bacterial small subunit ribosomal RNA
Source: RNAcentral